Molecule: long non-coding RNA, 1322 nt
Organism: Mus musculus (house mouse)
Lineage: Eukaryota; Metazoa; Chordata; Mammalia; Rodentia; Muridae
Product: predicted gene, 46343
Exons: 3
Source: RefSeq, a predicted model, not a curated record
CCGGCAUUGUUUAUACGUCAUGGUUGGCAUUUGGCCCCUCCUUCCAGGAGACUCCUAAGGAAGUUCAGUUCCUCCGGGACUAUGAUUUCAGCAGCCCGAUGGCUAAAGGGAAGGACACAAGUGUUUCUCCUUAGAGUAGAUUCCCUCCUGCUAGGUGGUUACACCUGCAGAACAAGGAAACUGCAUCUCAAAGUGACCCCUCUAUCCUAAGGGGGCACCAGAUGCUGCUCCAGAUGUGCUGCCUGUAGGCUGCCUGCCUCCUCUCUUCAGGCUUGCUGCCAAAGGCACCUGGCUGGGCUACCUUGUCCAGCUCCCAAGACUUCCAUCACGACUCCCCUCCUAUCUUGGGAAGUCGAAGUCCUGCUCACCUUGAAGACUCCUUGAAGACUUCGGUUUCCCUGGAAGCAUCUACUAGCAUGGAAUGCGUAAACAGGUCAUGAAGUACCCUGCUGAAGGAAGUUGGGGAGGGACUAAGCAGAUGACUGUGCCUGCGCCUGGACAACCUCCAGCUUUUCGAGUGAAGUGCCAAGGUCCUUCUGUUGCAUCAUGACCACACUUGUUUUAAUUUACUUUUUUGACACAGGGUUUCAUGGACCCAAGGCUGCCCUUGGCUGCUUUUCAUAGCCAAGGCUGACCUUAAACGUCCAGUCCUCUGCCCCCAUUUCUGUGGUAGGUGAGCACUGGCUGAGCAGCAGUCCUGCCCUAUUGCUUCUAAUCUUAGCAACCACCAAUUUACAUAGAUUGAGUCUCAGAUCCCACUUUUCCUGUGAAUGCAGAAAGGUUUGGCUGUGGAUCCUUGGCUGGCAGUGAGGGUAGAAAGGGAUCAAGUUACAAGCCUUUGGAAGACUCCACUUCUGUUUAUAGCAGGGUGGCGGCUUCCCUUUAUUAGAGGAGGAAAAUUACAGUCCACUUAAGGGAAGUCACACUGCAGUCCUGCUGUAUCUCCAAGACCCCCUUUCUCUUGCACUUUUCCUGUUUAUCUCUCCUGCUCAUUCCACGUUAAGAGUUUUCUCACCAUCAAGAGUUUAUAUCUGCACCUUCAUAGAGUAUUCGUUUGGGUAGAUUUAGGACAGAUAGAGAUCUAAAAGUAGCACUUCUUUUUUUUCCCUAGACAAAAACCCAAGGGAAAUUUAAUGACUAGCAUGUGAGGCAUUGCCAUUGCUAUGUGGCUAGCUUCCUUUUCUUUCUAUGGACCUCUGAAAACCUAGGUCUUUUUGUUUUUGAGACAUGGUCUUCCAAAAUAGUCCAGACUAGUCUUGAACUUUCAAUCCUCCUGUCUUACCUUCCCAUUCCAAGUGCUGGGAUGUACCCAAUAAGCUGUU